UACGGGGGGAGCAAGCGUUGUUCGGAUUUACUGGGCGUAAAGGGCGCGUAGGCGGCGCAACAAGUCACUUGUGAAAUCUCCGGGCUUAACUCGGAAAGGUCAAGUGAUACUGUUGUGCUAGAGUGCGGAAGGGGCAACUGGAAUUCUCGGUGUAGCGGUGAAAUGCGUAGAUAUCGUAAGGAAGACCAGUGGCGAAGGCGGGUCUCUGGACAGUUCCUGACGCUGAGACACGAAGGUCAGGGGAGCAAACGGG
Molecule: ribosomal RNA, 253 nt
Filed under: uncultured bacterium
Lineage: Bacteria
Description: partial 16S ribosomal RNA
Rfam family: Bacterial small subunit ribosomal RNA
Source: RNAcentral